RNAcentral lists this ribosomal RNA (241 nucleotides) under Escherichia coli. RNAcentral's name for it is "partial 23S ribosomal RNA". It matches the Rfam family "Bacterial large subunit ribosomal RNA", at positions 1 to 242 of the family's 2925-position model. The record is from RNAcentral. Lineage: Bacteria; Pseudomonadati; Pseudomonadota; Gammaproteobacteria; Enterobacterales; Enterobacteriaceae.
GGUUAAGCGACUAAGCGUACACGGUGGAUGCCCUGGCAGUCAGAGGCGAUGAAGGACGUGCUAAUCUGCGAUAAGCGUCGGUAAGGUGAUAUGAACCGUUAUAACCGGCGAUUUCCGAAUGGGGAAACCCAGUGUGAUUCGUCACACUAUCAUUAACUGAAUCCAUAGGUUAAUGAGGCGAACCGGGGGAACUGAAACAUCUAAGUACCCCGAGGAAAAGAAAUCAACCGAGAUUCCCCCA